UCUGGUGAAAGUACGGGAGACAGAAUGAUGAUUUCUGCCCCGCAUCCACGCAUUUAUUUGCCUGUGAUUACACAGAGUGCAAUAUUUAGGUACAAUUAUUUUCGUUUUUGAAUUUGUACAUUGGUGAGAUGAGUGUUAGGGUUGGACAGGUGUGGUAGAUAUACAUGAUUUGGUAUUUUCUUAAUUAUAAACAUUGCGUGGAUGGUAACAUUAACAUAUGAUUUUUGUUUGUUUACAUUUUUAAGAGUUUCAGGCAAUUUGCAUGAGUCAAUUUAUUUGAGUUUAAAAUUGGUUUUAUUUAUAUUUUCAGGUACCCCCGCCAGAAGGACGGAAGCACCGAGCCUCAGGAAUCUUUGCCGGUGGGGAAUGGGAGCUGCUUGUCCCAGUUAUUUGCAGCCGCAGGCUGCGCGCAACUUUCGAAUUUGAGUUGGGCCAGCGUUUCUGGUAAGUAUUCAUGGUGGAAUUUUUGCCGGCUGUCAAAAGUGGUACUAUUUACCACCACAGCGGCCGUUGUUUUGCGUUUGAGUUUUCAUUUUUCAUUUUAGUUACAGCAGUUUCACCAGUCGUCAGAGUUUUAUUUUCAGUUCGGAUCCCGCGCCGCCGUCAAUUUAGGUUUUAAUUUGCAAGAGGCUGCCAACCCGCCCAUGGGUCUCAUUGCCAGCCUUCAAAUGGUCCAAAUCGCAGUGGAUUCCCGCGCCGCCGUCUAAUUCCAAGGUCCAGGGAGUUGCUGCAUUUCAGCUGGAGUUCUUCAGUGCGUAGUGGAUUCCCGCGUCGCCGUCUUAUUCCAGGGUCCAGGGAGUUGCUUCACUUCGGUUGGAGUUCAUCGUGUGUCGGCGAGAGCGUCGUCAUUGCUUUGGAGUCACCAGGGUCGUCGCUUCUGUGGGUCGUCUCGCCAGGGAAAGGAGGCAUCUUGUGGACGCCGGGCCAAGAUGCUUUGCUUAGGGCCGACGCUCGUAAGUGUCCAUGGAAUUGGAUGCAGAAAAUUGGAUUAGAUAAGUAUAUCUAUGUGUUUAGUUUUGUUUUGUCUGAUUUUUGUUUUGUCUUUUCUUUUGCAGGUCCAAUUCGUCCAGGAUUUUUCAUUUUUGUCCGGUGGGAUUUGGGAAGGAAUGCAUUGCCUUGGAUUUAUAAAGAGCAUCGUCGGAGUUUAUUUUGCUCUUUUUCAGGGAUAUUGUCAGUAUGUCGUUGCUACCAAGAAAAGGUGGAAUUUAAGGGUCAAGAUUUUGACCUUUUGUCGGGUCAACAGCGCCGCACUUGGAAUUCGUAAGGACGAGAGGGCUUCCCAACUUGGAAACGGCAUCAAAACAUUUUAGGUUUUUAAUGUUUUAGGUGCCGAAAUCGUCGUUUUUCAUUUCGCCGAGUCGGGAAAUGGGAUUUUGUUUGUAUGCCGUUGCUGCCAGAAAAAAGUCGAUUUCAAGGGUCGCGAAAUUGACCUUUUGCCGGGUCAGCAGCGGCGCACCUAGGGUUAAGAAGGACGAGGGUGCACCCCAACAUGGAGACGGCAUCCAAACAUUAUAGGAUUUUUAUGUUUUAGGUGACAAAAGCUUCGUUUUUCGUUGCGCCUAGCAGGGAAGGAUAUUGUCAGUGUUAUCGUUGCUACCAGAAAAAGUCGAAAUUCAAGGGUCACGAUUUUGACCUUUUGCCGGGUCGGCAGCGCCGCACCAAGGGUCAAUAAAAUCGAGGGGGCUUCCUGGAAUAGGGACGGCAUCAAAACAUUGUGGAUUUUUAUAUAUAUUAUUAUAUAUUGCUCUGUUUUAUGUUUUGAUUAAAGUAUUUCAAUCUUUAACGGA
Molecule: RNA transcript, 1787 nt
Organism: Drosophila yakuba
Lineage: Eukaryota; Metazoa; Arthropoda; Insecta; Diptera; Drosophilidae
Exons: 4
Source: RefSeq, a predicted model, not a curated record